RNAcentral lists this unclassified non-coding RNA (344 nucleotides) under Hevea brasiliensis (rubber tree). Lineage: Eukaryota; Viridiplantae; Streptophyta; Magnoliopsida; Malpighiales; Euphorbiaceae. The record is from RNAcentral.
GCAAAAUAUUUUCCCUGCAAAAUCCCCCAUUCAACAACCAAUAAUUCUCCAGCUUGUUAACAAUCUGGAGACAUGGAGCCAUUGCAUCUAGAAAUAUCGAGUUAACAUAGUAAUUUCCGAUGUAAAGCAUAUUCUCCCUGGAGGGGUCAACUGCGCUGCGGUUCUACAAUGGAGAUAAAAACAGCAUCAAGCUUGGAUUUGAUAUCCUUUGUUAUGAAGAUGUGAUUGCAUUCUACUUGUUACAGGAUCCAAAGUAAUAUCAUCUUAUAUUACAAAUGAAUAUUUGAAUCCAGUUUCAAAGGUAAAAUAACUACAGAGCAUGGUACCAAAAAAAAAAAAAAACA